CUUCAGUGAUGAGACGAUGACGAGUCGGAAUGGGACACGGUCUGUGUCUCUGGGUUCACUGGGUCAGGGUCACGUUCUGUGUCUCUGGGUUCAGGUCCCCAGAGCAGCGUGUCUCUUCACUUGAAGACAUCGAGGCAUUUGUCUGAGAAGG
This 151-nucleotide small nucleolar RNA is filed under the name Hucho hucho (huchen). Lineage: Eukaryota; Metazoa; Chordata; Actinopteri; Salmoniformes; Salmonidae. The record is from RNAcentral.